Cinara cedri is the source of this 441-nucleotide non-coding RNA. NCBI's taxonomy places the organism in Eukaryota, Metazoa, Arthropoda, Insecta, Hemiptera, Aphididae. The record is from the annotation of a GenBank genome assembly.
ACUCUCCAGUCAAAAUUCAACCAUUUCUAUUAACUCGAACAGUUUAUAUACAGAGUACCUACCAAUUUAAAUUACGUAAAACAUUCGCAAAAUUAAAAUGACUAUUAAUGGCUCAAAAUUAUCUCAAAAUUGCAAGUCUCUAUAAAUAUUUUGAACUAAAUGACAACAAAUAAAAAUUGAAAAUAUUAAAAGCAUUUUUUUCGUAAAUAUCCCCGUUCUGUCUGUUUUUUUUUUCGGUUUUGCUCAAUUAUUAAAAAAAUUACAGGAAAAUCAAAAAACAAUGUUCUUACUCACCAUCUAACUUGAAAAUUCAAUAAAUCAAAUCUUUUGUCGUUUUUUGAUUGAAUUAAUAUCUCUGGUAGAAAAAAUAAUUAAUACAAAUUUUAAAUAACGAAGUAAUUAAUGUUAUACACUUGUCCAUUUUUAUAAAUCUUUUUUAAA